RNAcentral lists this ribosomal RNA (132 nucleotides) under Salmonella enterica subsp. enterica serovar Altona. Its description in RNAcentral is "partial 16S ribosomal RNA". It matches the Rfam family "Bacterial small subunit ribosomal RNA", at positions 1 to 123 of the family's 1533-position model. The record is from RNAcentral. Lineage: Bacteria; Pseudomonadati; Pseudomonadota; Gammaproteobacteria; Enterobacterales; Enterobacteriaceae.
UUAAAUUGAAGAGUUUGAUCAUGGCUCAGAUUGAACGCUGGCGGCAGGCCUAACACAUGCAAGUCGAACGGUAACAGGAAGUAGCUUGCUGCUUCGCUGACGAGUGGCGGACGGGUGAGUAAUGUCUGGGAA